Pteropus vampyrus (large flying fox) is the source of this 128-nucleotide ribosomal RNA. The record is from Ensembl. Lineage: Eukaryota; Metazoa; Chordata; Mammalia; Chiroptera; Pteropodidae.
GUCUAUGGCCAUGCCACCCUGAACAAGCCCAAUCCUAUCUGAUCUCAGAAGCUAAGCAGGGUCGGGCCUGGUUAGUACUUGGAUGGGAGACCAGCUACGAAGAAAAGAAAAUUGGGAUAAUAUAGAGA